GCCGGGUGCGGUGGCGUGUGCCUGCCAUCCAAGCUACUGGGAGGGUGAGGCUGGCGGACCGCCUGAGCUCAGGGGUCUGGGCUGCCGUGGAUCGGGUGUCCGCACUAAGUUCGGCACCGAUAUGGUGCUCCUGGGGGAGCCCGGGACCACCAGGUCGUCUAAGGAGGGGUGAACCGGCCCAGGUCAGAAACAGAGCAGGUCAAAGCCCCCGUGCCACUCAGUAGUGUGAUCGUGCCCGUAAAUAGACACUGUAGUGCAGCCUGAGCAAUACAGUGAGACACAGUCUUU
This 288-nucleotide signal recognition particle RNA is filed under the name Paramormyrops kingsleyae. RNAcentral describes it as "Metazoan signal recognition particle RNA (ENSPKIG00000023284.1)". It matches the Rfam family "Metazoan signal recognition particle RNA". Rfam says of the family: The signal recognition particle (SRP) is a universally conserved ribonucleoprotein. It is involved in the co-translational targeting of proteins to membranes. The record is from RNAcentral. Lineage: Eukaryota; Metazoa; Chordata; Actinopteri; Osteoglossiformes; Mormyridae.